AUUGAACGCUAGCGGGAUGCUUUACACAUGCAAGUCGAACGGCAGCGCGGACUUCGGUCUGGCGGCGAGUGGCGAACGGGUGAGUAAUGUAUCGGAACGUGCCCAGUAGCGGGGGAUAACUACGCGAAAGCGUAGCUAAUACCGCAUACGCCCUACGGGGAAAAGCAGGGGAUCGUAAGACCUUGCACUAUUGGAGCGGCCGAUAUCGGAUUAGCUAGUUGGUGAGGUAACGGCUCACCAAGGCGACGAUCCGUAGCUGGUUUGAGAGGACGACCAGCCACACUGGGACUGAGACACGGCCCAGACUCCUACGGGAGGCAGCAGUGGGGAAUUUUGGACAAUGGGGGCAACCCUGAUCCAGCCAUCCCGCGUGUGCGAUGAAGGCCUUCGGGUUGUAAAGCACUUUUGGCAGGAAAGAAACGUCGCGGGCUAAUACCCCGUGGAACUGACGGUACCUGCAGAAUAAGCACCGGCUAACUACGUG
RNAcentral lists this ribosomal RNA (484 nucleotides) under uncultured bacterium. RNAcentral's name for it is "partial 16S ribosomal RNA". It matches the Rfam family "Bacterial small subunit ribosomal RNA", at positions 30 to 507 of the family's 1533-position model. The record is from RNAcentral.